AACGGGAGGUUUUAUGCAGGUUAUUCCUGGCUUUUCUAUGACCAUUAAAAUUAUGAAUUUUAUUGGUGAAUUGUUAAAUUAUAUUCGUAGGUACUGUGUUAAGCUGAUCUGCUAAUUAUGAUUCUAGUUUGAACUCAAUUUUGACUGCUGAAAUUAUCAUCUUUCCUGGAGAUUCAUGUCUGUUUAACAUUCAUUUUUUUUAUGUGAAUAAUAUUAUACUUGCUAAUAGAUUUUACAAAGUUCAUAGCAUAGAUUUCUCAUGUAUUAACUUCAUGUGUUUGUAACAUAACUAACAAAGGUUUGG
Molecule: unclassified non-coding RNA, 304 nt
Filed under: Hevea brasiliensis (rubber tree)
Lineage: Eukaryota; Viridiplantae; Streptophyta; Magnoliopsida; Malpighiales; Euphorbiaceae
Source: RNAcentral